Long non-coding RNA from Aedes aegypti (yellow fever mosquito), 834 nucleotides. RefSeq lists it as uncharacterized. The transcript is spliced from 2 exons. Lineage: Eukaryota; Metazoa; Arthropoda; Insecta; Diptera; Culicidae. The record is from RefSeq and is a predicted model, not a curated record.
AUGUUCUCGAUUUAACCAUGCUUAUGGUAAAAAUAAAAACAGAGAAUGUGUAAUCUUUACUACCGUGCAUUUAUAUCCAUAACUCACUCCCAUUGGAGGACGCCAUUUUGUACAUUGAUUUAGUAACGAAGACAGUAGCUAUUUGGAAGCAAACUAGAAAAAUAAUCGAAAAUAUUUAACAAUACAACAACAAAUUUAUGGUGAUUUGUUUUCCAGUUCAUGAACCAAUAGUUUUAAGAUCGAGCUGAGAAGUUGCUGUUGGAUGCAUUUCGUUUUCUUUAUUUUUGAAUGCAUGUUGCAGAAAUCCCUCGGAUCGAUUUUUAUGCUCUGGCAUCUUCAUUGAAUUAUCCACCAAGAAGGCAACGUAAGAUCAGCGUUAACCAGCGUUCUUCCUGAUUUAACAUCGCUUCUGCAAGCUGACGGAAAACGCAUUCAUCGAGCCGGGAAUAGCGCUCUUCAAGGCAGACCAUAUUCAUCAUCGUAUCAGUCUGAACAUGACAACCAGUCACUGUACAUGAAGGUCAGCCAAGAGUCAUGCCGGCGACCAUGGAUGGUCAACUGCCUUCAGUGGUAUCCGGAUCAUCUCCAAAACCUGGAUCAGCAUUCUAUGGAAUGGAACUUCAAAACUGACAAAACGCAAAUUUUAUUUACGCAAAAUGUAUAUUUAUUUGCGUAUACUCAUUAUUUAUUUAGAAUUGAAAUUUGUACAAAUUACCAAUGAUAAGUUCAAAUUAAUUAUUAUUUUACACAAAUUUACAAUUCUGUAUGCAUCAUGCGUGGACCUCGGCAUCGCACUUGAUAAUAUUCAAUAAAAGAAGCGUCCAGUUGAACCUA